CGGUCACAUCAUGUUGAAACACGAGUUCCCGUACGAUCACCGGAGUUAAGCAACGUCGAGCCUGGGCAGUACCUAAAUAGGUGACCCACUUGCGAAUAUCAGGUGCUGUAAU
Non-coding RNA from Acanthosepion pharaonis, 112 nucleotides. Lineage: Eukaryota; Metazoa; Mollusca; Cephalopoda; Sepiida; Sepiidae. The record is from the annotation of a GenBank genome assembly.